This 254-nucleotide ribosomal RNA is filed under the name uncultured bacterium. Its description in RNAcentral is "partial 16S ribosomal RNA". It matches the Rfam family "Bacterial small subunit ribosomal RNA", at positions 524 to 776 of the family's 1533-position model. The record is from RNAcentral.
UACGAGUGCCCCAAGCGUUAUCCGGAAUUAUUGGGCGUAAAGGGUGAGUAGGCGGUUUGAGUUAGUCUCCUGCUAAAGUCUUCGGCUUAACCGGGGCACUGCGGGGGAAACGGCUCAACUAGAGAGGGUGAGAGGUCUAGGGAACUCAUGGUGUAGGGGUGAAAUCCGUUGAUAUCAUGGGGAACACCAAAGGCGAAGGCACUAGACUGGCGCCUGUCUGACGCUGAAUCACGAAAGCGUGGGGAUCAAACGGG